CCGUGGUUAGCCUAGAGGUCAGGCACUUGAUUUGGGAUCAAGACGACGAAGGUUCGAUCCCUUCAUCACGGA
This 72-nucleotide transfer RNA is filed under the name Ralstonia phage RSP15. It matches the Rfam family "tRNA". Rfam says of the family: Transfer RNA (tRNA) molecules are approximately 80 nucleotides in length. Their secondary structure includes four short double-helical elements and three loops (D, anti-codon, and T loops). Lineage: Duplodnaviria; Heunggongvirae; Uroviricota; Caudoviricetes; Pantevenvirales; Ackermannviridae. The record is from Rfam by way of RNAcentral.